Pogoniulus pusillus (Red-fronted tinkerbird) is the source of this 1946-nucleotide long non-coding RNA. RefSeq lists it as uncharacterized. NCBI's taxonomy places the organism in Eukaryota, Metazoa, Chordata, Aves, Piciformes, Lybiidae. The transcript has 3 exons. The record is from RefSeq and is a predicted model, not a curated record.
AGGAUCCUCCUCCCAUCACCACUGCUCCACCUUCACCUUAUCCCACAGGAUCACGCAGACACAGGGGGAAUGGAGCAAAGCUGGAGCCUCCUUUUCUGCAGAUUAAACACUUCCAGUUCUCUCAGCUGCUCCUCACCAGUCCUGUUUUCCAGACCCUUCACCAGCUUGAUCACCUUUGAUGUGCAGAAAGAGAGGAAGGGCUGGAACUAGAUGAUCCUUUUGGUCCCUUCCAACCCUGUCUGAUUCUAUGGCUCUACAUACCUGAAAACUGCAGUGGCCUGAAGAUUUUCUCCUCAUAACUGUUUUGACUGAACAGGGCAUUUUUUGGGGUGCCCUGCUCUUUUGGAGACUGCAAAGCACUGAUGGUUCCCAGCCUGGCUUCUCUGAAGGCUUUUAAUGCAAGGCUCAUUGUCUAUUGAGCCCUCAAGUUCCUCCUCCAUGGGGAUUUCAGGACUGGCAGCAGGAGAGGAGAGCUGCUGUGCUGCCUCUGGGCAGUGUUCCUGUCCUUCCCCCUCCAGUGGACCCUCAUUAGAGAGACUUGUAGGGUCACUGAGGAUGGGGAAGCAACUGAGAUGAUUUCUGAGGCCAGGUUUCCAAACAUGAGGGGUGUGAAAGAGUUUGUUAUUGCAUCAGCAUUUCCCUGGGGAAGAGCCUGAACUGCUGGCAGUGGGGCUGGGGCUUGCCAGCAUGAAGCAGGACCUGCUGGAGCUGGGCACAGGGCAGAUGGGCUCAGCUCCCCAUGAGACAGGGUUUGCUGAGCUCAGGCUGCUCUCCCAGCCAGCCUGGUGGGAAUGUGCAGGUACCAAUAUAGGCUGAGUGGGUGGUGAGAGGGGACCUCGUGUGCUGCAUAACUGGAGGGCUUUUGCAGCUCCAUCAGCUGAAGAGAUGAAUGAAGGAGCAGGAUGUUGUCACCUCCCAGCGCCCACUCGCUCCCUGGCACACCAACGGGAGUUGAAUUUCGUUCAAGCUUCCCUUGAGUCACUCCCAGUUGGGUUCAGAGGGUUCCUCUGGAGCUGAUGGUACCCUGUGCACCAGCACUGCAGCUUCUCCUGCCACUGCCCUGUGCCCCAGCCCGUGCCAGGCACCCUGGGACCCGCUGCGCCCCACCGGUGCUCCUGACACCCCAAUGGCACUGAUGACCAGAUCAAGGGAGUGAGGAUAGGGGUCGACAGACUGCUUUUGGGGUGGCCCCAGUUGUCACCAUCCCACCACCCAGCUCAGAUGAUCCAUGCUCAGCCUGCAGGAACAGCUGCAAAAAUAAACCUCAGCGAUGCCAUCUGUGCCUUCUCCUGGGCGUUCUGCGCCUGCACGGCGACCUCUUCCAGCAGGACUAAAAUGAGGGCUCUGUUCCUGGUUCCAGGAAAAGGUUGGUGCCUUCCAUCCCAGCACGACAGCUUCCUGGCACUCUGUCCCAGUGCAGGGAGCAGACAAACAGGAUUUGUCCUUCCAGGUGCUCUGGGCAAGCUCUGGUGGUGGAGUCUCCAUCUCUGCAGACAUCCAAAGCUCACCUGGAUAUGUUUCUGUGCGACCUCCUUUGAGUGAACCUGCAAAGAUUGGACUCGGUGAUCUCUAGGGCUCCCUUCCAACCCCUACCAUGCAAUGAGUGUGUGAUUUAACCCUUUCCUCACUGCAGGCUGGGCAGUGCCCAGAGCUGCUGCCACCCAUACUUAGGGAGCUGUUGUGCCAGAGCACUGGUGGCAGCAGCAGCGAGGUGGUUAAGCAGCUCUCCGGGCUGGUACCUCCUCCAUCCUGACUUUCAGCCCCGAUGGCUGACUCAUUAGCUAUUUAUUUAUUUAAAGCCACUGAGCUAUUUGCAAGACGUUUGCCCAGCACCCAGGCUGUGUGGGCAGGGAGCUGCUCUCUGCCUGCGUUCCUCUCGCUGACACUGAUGGGAACUCAGCAGAAUAAAUAAGGAAUCUUCCAAUCAAGACUCAGUUUGGGUUUUA